AUUGAACGCUGGCGGCAUGCCUUACACAUGCAAGUCGAACGGUAACGGGCCUUCGGGUGCCGACGAGUGGCGAACGGGUGAGUAAUGUAUCGGAACGUACCUUUCAGUGGGGAUAACGUAGCGAAAGUUACGCUAAUACCGCAUAUUCUGUGAGCAGGAAAGCAGGGGAUCGCAAGACCUUGCGCUGAUUGAGCGGCCGAUAUCAGAUUAGCUAGUUGGUGAGGUAAAGGCUCACCAAGGCGACGAUCUGUAGCGGGUCUGAGAGGAUGAUACGCCACACUGGAACUGAGACACGGUCCAGACUCCUACGGGAGGCAGCAGUGGGGAAUUUUGGACAAUGGGGGCAACCCUGAUCCAGCCAUGCCGCGUGAGUGAAGAAGGCCU
RNAcentral lists this ribosomal RNA (384 nucleotides) under uncultured bacterium. RNAcentral's name for it is "bacterial SSU rRNA". It matches the Rfam family "Bacterial small subunit ribosomal RNA", at positions 30 to 417 of the family's 1533-position model. The record is from RNAcentral.